GAAAGGUUCACAAGAACUGCUAACUCCUACUACUGAUGCUAAUCCACCAGACCUUUCA
Molecule: transfer RNA, 58 nt
Filed under: Chamaeleo senegalensis (Senegal chameleon)
Lineage: Eukaryota; Metazoa; Chordata; Lepidosauria; Squamata; Chamaeleonidae
Description: tRNA-Ser
Source: RNAcentral